RNAcentral lists this long non-coding RNA (1168 nucleotides) under Equus caballus (horse). RNAcentral's name for it is "lncRNA (ENSECAG00000054352.1)". The record is from RNAcentral. Lineage: Eukaryota; Metazoa; Chordata; Mammalia; Perissodactyla; Equidae.
CACCACCUUGGGGUGUCCACCUGCACCCCCAUGGGGAGAUGGAUUGCCCAAAAGAAAAAUCCAAAGUGAUGGGGGCAAUUCCUCAGACGUCUCACAAGCCGGCUCAGCCGCUGGAACCUGCUGGGCUUCCCGGAAGCUGCUCCUUGGCCCGAAGACUCUCAGGACAGCGAGGCAGCAGCAUCACCAAGGAGAGGCCAAGAGGGAGCCUCAUGGGACCUGGGACCCUGGAGCAUGAGCCGUGGCGCCAGAUGUGGUCCCCAGGAAAGGCCCAUGUUCCCGUUUAAAAAUGGCCCAUUGCAACAUCAAGAGAUGCACGGGACAAAUGACUCUCACAGGAGAAAAUGAGAUUGGCCCCUCAUAGCCUGAAGGACUUACUGGAACGGGGCCUUUUAGCUUGUUUCGGGGAGGGAAAAAAUGUGCAUCCCGGGGGCCUCAGUGGUGAACACUUGGUGCUAAUGGACCUGAGGUCCUGGAUCCUGGUCCCCCAGGGGCUUCUGUGGCCUCUGUAAACACGGAUAGAACACACCAGAUACAAGAGCCUUCAGACCAAUAAGGAGGCUAAGGCUCGGGAGGCCAGAUGACUUUCUCAAGAGAACAAUCAGCAUGUGGUAGAGCCAAGACUGAAAACGAGAUCUUCUGACGACAGAGCCAAUACCCCAGCCAUGACUCAAGCUUGACAGUAGCCAAGAGGGUGGCUCCCGCCGAGGUGUGAGCCGCUCCACGUGCCAGCCUGCGUCCCCUGGGAAUCUAUUCACCUCUACUCGGCAGAGCAGGGAGGAGAAGAGGAUAAACCAACACCCACACUGUAUUCCUUCUCGUCUCUCUCCUUGUGAAAACAAGAGGAACAGUGCAGAGCCUCAUCCGAUAUUCUCAUCCUGACAUCAUCCCAGGAAAAUAAGUCCUUUUCAAAACCGCGGUUGCAGCGCCUCCCCUCCCGCGGCUGAGAGCCGGCAGAGCGGACCAUGUGUGGGGCUCCGUGGCUGGCCCAGGCGCACGGGGUCAGGCUGCUCCAGAGGCCGUGCUCUUCCCGUUAUUCCUCACUGUCUUUGGCAGACACAAAAGACUCAGGGAAAUGGACAAAAUAAAGAAAAGAGGCUCUUUCAACCUAAGGAGGUGCCUCUUCUGACAUUUUAGGAAAAUGGAGUCAUUCAAGCUUCCUAGAGGCAGG